GCCCCCGUAGUUCAACGGAUAGAACGUAGGCCUCCGGAGCCUGAGAUACAAGUUCGAAUCUUGUCGGGGGCG
RNAcentral lists this transfer RNA (72 nucleotides) under bacterium. RNAcentral describes it as "tRNA-Arg". It matches the Rfam family "tRNA". Rfam says of the family: Transfer RNA (tRNA) molecules are approximately 80 nucleotides in length. Their secondary structure includes four short double-helical elements and three loops (D, anti-codon, and T loops). The record is from RNAcentral.